AAAAGGCCUACAGAGCUCCUAGCCUAGGGAGAGCUUUUAAGGUUAGCGUAAGGAGUGCGCAGUUGAUGCUCUUUAGCAAUCACGCUACUGGCCUCACGCCAUUCUCUCGCCCCGCCCUGCAUGUCACAAUGACAUAUAAAUUGAAACCUGCAACAGAACAAAAACUAGGUGGUUACCUUAGUGUUUGUGUGUGUGGCUGUAAAGUUUUACUAGUAAAUCCAAUGUGACACAAACAUUGAAGUUGCCAUUUUCUGUGUGCUUUUCAUAGUGAUGCUGGAUUUUCAUUCAUGUUUUGUUCACAAAUACAGCAAGAAUUCCACAAAUGCAGAUGUAAAUACAGGAACGCACAAAAGCAAGCAUGAAAAUGUACACAUAAGAAGCUUACAUGGUUUUUAAAGCUUACAAAAUAACCCACAAAAUACACAAGGGACAUUUGUAGUCUAAUACAUAAAUAGGGAGCUGAUUACAUCAGUAUAUUGUCUGAAGAAUAUUUGUGAAUGUUCUUCUGCAUUUGUGGAUCUUGAAGCUCUUUCGCAGUCUUGAUAGACAGAGGAUCUCAGAUGUUUGUGGAUCUCCCCCAUAUUGCUAAACUAUAAUGCAGAUCAAGUUACUGUAGGUGACAGAGCCCUGAAACUCUUAUUACCUUGUUGUGAGAAUGCCGUUUUGAGUUCGCUCGGGCCAUCUGCUCUUUUGUACACGUGAGUUAUGUUUAAUUCAGAAGCAAAUUCAUUUCUAGUGCAAGAGCACGGAGAGAUUCGCGAGUGCACAGGACAGAGUUUGAGCGUGCACACAUUUAAGUGAGAGGAGAGGCAUUUCAUAAGAGAGAACUGUAUAUUUGAGAGCAUGAAUCCAGUUUUGUGCGAGAGCAAAGGAAAUCGCUCGCACAUUACAUGGAUGUGCUCUUGCGUUACAAUAAUGGGCUCUCAACAUUUGUCUUUAAAAUAAUGCCAUAGUUUUCCCCUAUGGGGUAGUUUUUGUUUGUGUUUGUUUUAUUUUUUAUUUAAAAUAAAAUGUAUUUAAACAUUUAUUUAAAAUGUAUUCUCUGACCUUGUCCUCCCUCACCUCACCAUAAAACCUGCCAUUUUCAAUGAUGAAAAAAGAAAGGGAAAAAAAAAAAAAACAUUAACACCAUUAAUUUUAUUUGAAAUUUGUAUGUAGUAUAGAUAUAUUACUGUUAUAGCUAUAUAUCUUUAUUUUGUUUCAUUCAGCUUUUUUCUGACCAGUUCCCCAGUCCCUGUCAGGAAAUUCUCCCGGUGCUCCCAAUGUCCAGUCUGGGCCUGCUUUAAUUAAGUGUUUUUAUUUGCAAGUCCAUGAAAGUCCAAGCCAGCUUUCAUGUGUUUUGUACUGUGGAGAGGCUUCUGUCUGGCCAUUCUGCCAUAAAGCCCAAUUCAGUCAUGACACCUCUCAGAGUGGAUUAUUUCAACCAGCAUUUAUUGGCAUGCUGCAUGAAAUAUAAUAAGGCUUGAUUUUUGGCAGAUGAGAUCUACUGUGCUACUGCUGAUGAACAAAUACAAGAAUUUGUUCAGCUUAGUCAAAAUAACAAACAAAGGGACAGACUGCUGCAAGAAAACAGUAGAACCCCGUCGCAGAUCUCUACAGGUGGCGCUGGGGUAACAUAAGUUUUAAUACUCAUGUAGCAUGGUGAUCACAGGCUAGGACACGAUAAAUAUGGUUAUGUGGAUUAGGAAGUACUUCUGAUUGGCUGAUGCCACGGCAUUGAAAGAGCUAAUCAGCGCAUGGUUAGAGUUUAAUGCCUGAACUACUGUAUGUAUAUCUGUGGAGUGUUGCAGUGAUGGUUUCUUCUGCUCCUUCUGCAAGUUUCUCCUGUCAAUAAUCUCUGGAGCUCAACUAGAGUUCUGGUUCACCUGGUUCAGACUGGUUCUUGUUCACCUCUCUUACCAAAGCCCUUCUUCCCUGAUUGCUCAGUUUGGCCUGGUGAUCAGCUAUAAGAAGAGUGUUGGUUGUUCUAAAUUUCUUCCAUUUAAGAAUUAUGGAGGCAAUUGUACUCUUGGGAACCAUCAAUGCAGCAGAAAGUUUUAUGUAGCCUACACAAGAUCUGUGCCUUGACACAAUCCUGUUUUUGAGCUCUGUAGUUCUUUUGACCUCAUGGCUUGGCUUUGCACUAAUAUGCAUUUUCAGCUCUCAAGGGUAUCCAGUCCUGCUCCUGGAGGGACGCUGAACUACAGAGUUUAGCUCCAACUCCAUUUAAACACACCUGAACAAGCCCUCCAGGAUCUGGAUUGUGCCUUUCCAAAUUAGUCAAUAGAAUUUGUCAAAGGUAGACUCCAGUCAAAGUGUACAAACAUACAAACAUCUCAAAGAUGAUCCAAAGAAGUGGGAUGCAUCUGUGCUAAAUUUCAAAUGUAACUGUCAAAAUU
Molecule: long non-coding RNA, 2378 nt
Organism: Ctenopharyngodon idella (grass carp)
Lineage: Eukaryota; Metazoa; Chordata; Actinopteri; Cypriniformes; Xenocyprididae
Exons: 2
Source: RefSeq, a predicted model, not a curated record